This 1554-nucleotide ribosomal RNA is filed under the name Salmonella enterica subsp. enterica serovar Senftenberg. RNAcentral's name for it is "bacterial SSU rRNA". It matches the Rfam family "Bacterial small subunit ribosomal RNA". Lineage: Bacteria; Pseudomonadati; Pseudomonadota; Gammaproteobacteria; Enterobacterales; Enterobacteriaceae. The record is from RNAcentral.
AAAUUGAAGAGUUUGAUCAUGGCUCAGAUUGAACGCUGGCGGCAGGCCUAACACAUGCAAGUCGAACGGUAACAGGAAGCAGCUUGCUGCUUUGCUGACGAGUGGCGGACGGGUGAGUAAUGUCUGGGAAACUGCCUGAUGGAGGGGGAUAACUACUGGAAACGGUGGCUAAUACCGCAUAACGUCGCAAGACCAAAGAGGGGGACCUUCGGGCCUCUUGCCAUCAGAUGUGCCCAGAUGGGAUUAGCUUGUUGGUGAGGUAACGGCUCACCAAGGCGACGAUCCCUAGCUGGUCUGAGAGGAUGACCAGCCACACUGGAACUGAGACACGGUCCAGACUCCUACGGGAGGCAGCAGUGGGGAAUAUUGCACAAUGGGCGCAAGCCUGAUGCAGCCAUGCCGCGUGUAUGAAGAAGGCCUUCGGGUUGUAAAGUACUUUCAGCGGGGAGGAAGGUGUUGUCGUUAAUAACCACAGCAAUUGACGUUACCCGCAGAAGAAGCACCGGCUAACUCCGUGCCAGCAGCCGCGGUAAUACGGAGGGUGCAAGCGUUAAUCGGAAUUACUGGGCGUAAAGCGCACGCAGGCGGUCUGUCAAGUCGGAUGUGAAAUCCCCGGGCUCAACCUGGGAACUGCAUUCGAAACUGGCAGGCUUGAGUCUUGUAGAGGGGGGUAGAAUUCCAGGUGUAGCGGUGAAAUGCGUAGAGAUCUGGAGGAAUACCGGUGGCGAAGGCGGCCCCCUGGACAAAGACUGACGCUCAGGUGCGAAAGCGUGGGGAGCAAACAGGAUUAGAUACCCUGGUAGUCCACGCCGUAAACGAUGUCUACUUGGAGGUUGUGCCCUUGAGGCGUGGCUUCCGGAGCUAACGCGUUAAGUAGACCGCCUGGGGAGUACGGCCGCAAGGUUAAAACUCAAAUGAAUUGACGGGGGCCCGCACAAGCGGUGGAGCAUGUGGUUUAAUUCGAUGCAACGCGAAGAACCUUACCUGGUCUUGACAUCCACGGAAGUUUUCAGAGAUGAGAAUGUGCCUUCGGGAACCGUGAGACAGGUGCUGCAUGGCUGUCGUCAGCUCGUGUUGUGAAAUGUUGGGUUAAGUCCCGCAACGAGCGCAACCCUUAUCCUUUGUUGCCAGCGGUCCGGCCGGGAACUCAAAGGAGACUGCCAGUGAUAAACUGGAGGAAGGUGGGGAUGACGUCAAGUCAUCAUGGCCCUUACGACCAGGGCUACACACGUGCUACAAUGGCGCAUACAAAGAGAAGCGACCUCGCGAGAGCAAGCGGACCUCAUAAAGUGCGUCGUAGUCCGGAUUGGAGUCUGCAACUCGACUCCAUGAAGUCGGAAUCGCUAGUAAUCGUGGAUCAGAAUGCCACGGUGAAUACGUUCCCGGGCCUUGUACACACCGCCCGUCACACCAUGGGAGUGGGUUGCAAAAGAAGUAGGUAGCUUAACCUUCGGGAGGGCGCUUACCACUUUGUGAUUCAUGACUGGGGUGAAGUCGUAACAAGGUAACCGUAGGGGAACCUGCGGUUGGAUCACCUCCUUACCUUAAAGAAGC